Non-coding RNA from Oryza sativa Japonica Group (Japanese rice), 2806 nucleotides. The record is from RefSeq and is a predicted model, not a curated record. NCBI's taxonomy places the organism in Eukaryota, Viridiplantae, Streptophyta, Magnoliopsida, Poales, Poaceae.
UUUGAAGCUGACGUUUGGGUCACCGGUUAAAAAUGCAAAAUUUGGUAAUAAAACCCGGUCAAAAGUUUUUUUUUAAAAAAAAACUGCUAAUAGCUAGUAAUUUACAAUUUGGGAAAUAAAACCUGACAUAAAGUACAGUAUACUUUAAAAUUUUCGAAUAAGAUGAAUACCAAACAAUUAAUGGGACCGUAUAUUAAAACGGAGAAAGUGGAACGAAUUGUACUUGAGUUGUAGGACUAGCACACAUGCAUAUGUCGUCCUUGUAAAGUAAACGUGGAGGUAUAUUACUGGGAAGUUGAGUUUUUUCUGUGCUGUGUGUUGGGUGCGCGCGUGCUUAAUCAUAUUAAAUUUUAGUUUAAAUCUUUAGUUUUCCUAAGCCACUACCAACAGUAACUUGCUUCACCAGCGACCAAUAUUUUGCUAUAGUGCAACAGUUCCUUCCGGCUGCGCAGUGGCGUAGCCAGGAAUUUUUCUUUAGGUAGUCCUAGUUCACACGUUCAUGUCACGUGGUAAAAUUUUCCUUGCACCAUAAAACUGAUAUACAAAUACAAAUUUUGUGAAAAUGUGAUAGAAAUAAUAUCUUCCAAUGUCCAUAAGCGGCUUACUUAACAAGCAAGUUCAAAAUGUGCAAAUAUUACAACAUAGAAAGUUCAACAAUCAAUAUAGAUCUUACACAUAAAUAGAAAAUUACAAAGCCACUACCGCAGUGUACGCUUGGCCUUAGUCAUGAAAGUUUGUAUAAUGUCUUCCUCACUAACUUUGGAGAAGAUGUCUUUCUCAGUAUAUGUGACUAAGCAAUGAUUCAAUAGAUCAUCAUAUAUUCACUAAUCAGUAACAAUUUAUAAAUUGCAUACUCAGUUAUUCACAGACUCACUAAUCUCUAAUCACACUUCACAAAUCGAUUUAGCCAUUUAGGAAGCUAUUCGUUACCUGGGCUGAGCCACGGAGGGGAGACGGCGGCACGGAGCGGCGUCGGCGCGGACGGCGGGGAGGCCGAAGGGGAGGACGGUGUGGCGCUGGCGCGGACGGCGGUGGCGACGCCGGCACGGAGACGCGGAGUCGCGGCCUCGCGAGGAGGGGAUGGGACGGCGGUGGCGGCGCCGCCUCGCCGGCGGGGAGUCGCAUAAGGAGGGGAGGCCGGAGGGGAUGGCACAGCGUCGGCGCGGACUGCGGGGAGCCGGCUAGCUGGGGACGACACCGGGCACCGGCGCGGAGUCACAGUCUCGCGGAGGCUGGCGGCUGGCGGCGUUGGGCUCGGGCGAUUGGGCGAACUGGCUGAGACGCUGAGUGCCUGGGACUCUCCAACCCUAAUGUUUCUGGGCUAUUUGGGCCAAGCAACCUAUUUGGGCCUAAAUUUUUUAGGGGGUGGGGGGUCUUUGGGCCAAAUUUUAGGGUAGUCCCGAGCCCACCGGGACUACCAGCUAGCUACGCCCCUGCGGCUGCGUGUGCCAUGCGAUGCUCUGUCGUGGCUGUCAUCUGUCCGUCCGCUUGCCAACCCGAUAUGCUUGCCCUCUCCACCACACAUCACACACCCAUCAAUCCUCAAUUCAUCUGCUUGCCCUCUACAGCACACACCCAUCAAUUCUCAAUUUAUGAAAAGAAAUCCCUAAUCCAUCGGAGAAAUCGACGCCAACCCCUCCGCCCCAUCGAUCACCAGUUCGCCGACGACUGCCUUUCUCUUCCCCGACCUGCGUUCUUCCCCACCCACCGCCUGUGAUUGUAGGGUUGCCCCGUGGUGGUUGUCGCUGGUUAUAGUCGUCGUCCAGCUAUCUCUAUUGGUCAGGCUGCCGGCGCACUGGCCGCACCCAUCAAGGCUCCCGAUUGUUGCCCUGGUCGAGCGGCUGCCAUCUGCCAGCACGUCCGCUCCGGACAGCUGACUUCAUCCUCGGUUUUCUUCGCUAUCAAGAGAAAGAAGGCUACUAUGGUUGAAUACUUUGCAUAUAGGCUUCAUGACAGAGCUGAUGACAUCAAUACUCCUAUGCGCUGCAAGAGAGCUGCAAGAGAGGAACCCAGGCUUAUGUCAUAGAUGCCUAUUGUUGUAUGGAAGAAUCUCACCUGAGUCACUACAGAUUCAAGACAUUUCAGCUUAAGUAUAGAGCAGCUUCAUUCAAUGAGUCUCAUCCGAUGGUGCUUGCAAUUUCCGACGACGUGGCUCAUUCUUCUUUCAAGCAGCUUGCUGCUUUCACCUAUCUAGAAUCCUUAUGGUCAGAGGUAACACAAGCUUUGGCUACCAUCCCUGGGCAACACUCAGCUGAUAGGCCUGAUAUUAUUAAUCAUGUAUUCCAUGUUAAGCUGCACCUCUUCAUGAACGACAUCGUAAAGAAGAAAUUUUUUUGGCCCUGUCACUACAGUUGUGUACACAAUUGAAUUUCAGAAGCAUGGACUUCCACAUGUUCACAUCAUAUCGUGGUUAGAUAAGAGUGGUCCAUUGACACUUGCUGAUAUUGACAGACUAAUAUCGGCACAGCUUCCAGAUCCAUCCAUUGAUCGAGUUGGUUAUGACGCUGUUGCGGCAUUCAUGAUGCAUGGACCUUGUGGUGAUGCAAAUCCAUAUUGUUCAUGCAUGGUUGACAGUAAAUGCUCAAAGAAUUACCCAAAGGAAUAUUGUGAUAAAACAACAAUCCUGCCAAAUGGCCAUGUAAGGUAUGCUCGGCCAAAAAAAUGAUAUAAUUGUUGCCAAAAAUGAAAUUUCUCUUGAUAAUCGGCAUGUUGUCCCCCACAAUAUCGAUUUAUUAGUCAAAUAUGAGGCGCAUGUCAAUAUGGAAAGAGAUAAUCGUGAUGGAAUGGAAAAGUAUCUAUUCAAAUA